AAGUGAUUCUGAAGCAAUGUUAAUCCAACAACAUGCACAACACUAGCUGCUGUUGCUCUGUGAAUCUUCAACUUUUGGACUUGCUCGCGGGACAAAAUCAUGCAAAAUUUUGGCAAUUCAGGAGGAGCGAUUUUCUUCGUUUAUAAAGUAAAAGGUAUGUUAUAGUAUCCCUUUACCUUAUAUUUAAAUUAUUGUAGGGUAGCUUGCAGUGACUUUAUUAUUUAACAAAGAUUGAAUGAACUUUAUGCUAUAAAAAGUUUAAUA
Molecule: long non-coding RNA, 264 nt
Organism: Cucurbita moschata (crookneck pumpkin)
Lineage: Eukaryota; Viridiplantae; Streptophyta; Magnoliopsida; Cucurbitales; Cucurbitaceae
Exons: 2
Source: RefSeq, a predicted model, not a curated record